UACGAAGGGGGCUAGCGUUGUUCGGAAUUACUGGGCGUAAAGCGCGCGCAGGUGGUCUUUCAAGUCAGUGGUGAAAGCCCGGAGCUCAACUCCGGAAAUGCCAUUGAAACUGUAAGACUUGAGGAUGAGAGAGGUGAGUGGAAUUCCCAGUGUAGAGGUGAAAUUCGUAGAUAUUGGGAAGAACACCGGUGGCGAAGGCGGCUCACUGGCUCAUAUCUGACGCUCAGGCGCGAAAGCGUGGGGAUCAAACAGG
Molecule: ribosomal RNA, 253 nt
Filed under: uncultured bacterium
Lineage: Bacteria
Description: partial 16S ribosomal RNA
Rfam family: Bacterial small subunit ribosomal RNA
Source: RNAcentral